This 443-nucleotide ribosomal RNA is filed under the name uncultured bacterium. RNAcentral's name for it is "partial 16S ribosomal RNA". It matches the Rfam family "Bacterial small subunit ribosomal RNA", at positions 338 to 795 of the family's 1533-position model. The record is from RNAcentral.
CCUACGGGGGGCAGCAGUGGGGAAUAUUGGGCAAUGGGCGCAAGCCUGACCCAGCAACGCCGCGUGAAGGAAGAAGGCUUUCGGGUUGUAAACUUCUUUUCUCAGGGACGAAGCAAGUGACGGUACCUGAGGAAUAAGCCACGGCUAACUACGUGCCAGCAGCCGCGGUAAUACGUAGGGGGCAAGCGUUAUCCGGAUUUACGGGGUGUAAAGGGCGUGUAGGCGGGAAAGCAAGUCAGUUGUGAAAACCCUGGGCUCAACCGGGGCACUGAAUUUGAAACUGUUUUUCUUGAGUACUGGAGAGGCAGAGGGAAUUCCUAGUGUAGCGGUGAAAUGCGUAGAUAUUAGGAGGAACACCAGUGGCGAAGGCGAUCUGCUGGACAGCAACUGACGCUGUGGCACGAAAGCGUGGGGAGCAAACAGGAUUAGAUACCCCAGUAGUC